Molecule: ribosomal RNA, 489 nt
Filed under: uncultured bacterium
Lineage: Bacteria
Description: partial 16S ribosomal RNA
Rfam family: Bacterial small subunit ribosomal RNA
Source: RNAcentral
AUGAACGCUAGCUACAGGCUUAACACAUGCAAGUCGCGGGGCAGCAUGGGGGUUGCUUGCCAUCCCCGAUGGCGACCGGCGCACGGGUGAGUAACGCGUAUUCAACCUGCCCUUCACCACGGGAUAACCCGGCGAAAGUCGGACUAAUACCGUAUGUUGUCCAUUGACGGCAUCCGAUUUGGACGAAAGGCUUGGCGGUGAGGGAUGGGGAUGCGUCCGAUUAGCCAGACGGCGGGGUAACGGCCCACCGUGGCUACGAUCGGUAGGGGUUCUGAGAGGAAGGUCCCCCACACUGGAACUGAGACACGGUCCAGACUCCUACGGGAGGCAGCAGUGGGGAAUAGUGGUCAAUGGGCGUAAGCCUGAACCAGCCAAGUAGCGUGCAGGAUGACGGCCCUAUGGGUUGUAAACUGCUUUUAUGCGGGGAUAAAGUGGCCCACGUGUGGGCUUUUGCAGGUACCGCAUGAAUAAGGACCGGCUAAUUCCGUG